GACGAACGCUGGCGGCGUGCUUAACACAUGCAAGUCGUACGGUAAGGCCCUUUCGGGGGUACACGAGUGGCGAACGGGUGAGUAACACGUGAGUAACCUGCCCACAACUUUGGGAUAACGCUAGGAAACUGGUGCUAAUACUGGAUAUGUGCUCCUGCUGCAUGGUGGGGGUUGGAAAGCUCCGGCGGUUGUGGAUGGACUCGCGGCCUAUUAGCUUGUUGGUGGGGUAGUGGCCUACCAAGGCGGCGACGGGUAGCCGGCCUGAGAGGGUGACCGGCCACAUUGGGACUGAGAUACGGCGCAGACUCCUACGGGAGGCAGCAGUGGGGAGUAUUGCACAAUGGGCGCAAGCCUGAUGCAGCGACGCCGCGUGCGGGAUGACGGCCUUCGGGUUGUAAACCGCUUUCAGCAGGGACGAAGCUUUUUGUGACGGUACCUGCAGAAGAAGCACCGGCUAACUACGUG
This 465-nucleotide ribosomal RNA is filed under the name uncultured bacterium. Its description in RNAcentral is "partial 16S ribosomal RNA". It matches the Rfam family "Bacterial small subunit ribosomal RNA", at positions 28 to 507 of the family's 1533-position model. The record is from RNAcentral.